This is a long non-coding RNA of Camelus dromedarius (Arabian camel), 2332 nucleotides long. RefSeq lists it as uncharacterized. The transcript has 8 exons. Lineage: Eukaryota; Metazoa; Chordata; Mammalia; Artiodactyla; Camelidae. The record is from RefSeq and is a predicted model, not a curated record.
ACGGCCAGCUUCAGCCCGGAGACCCUCUCGGAGGCAGGACCGAGCGCAGGCGGAGGGGCCGGCGGAGGGGCCGUGGCGGGAACCCGGCUGAACUGAAGCCAGGAAGCUGUUACUCACUCCCAAGGUGUGGUUCCAAACCGGUUUGGAUCAGGCGUGGGUGGAGCCGGAGGAAGGCACCUUUCUUCCCUGGAAUCAGACCCUGUAUCCGUCUGCUCGGGUCACGACAACAAGCCAGCACUGACGCUGACUCCUCACCGUUCUGGAGGCUGGACGCCCACGAUCGAGGUGCCGGGAGCUUGUCCCAGCGGGGCCAGCAGGGGCUGCCAUCAUAGGUCCCCAGUGGUGCACGUAACGCGGACUGCUUCCCCAGACGGUCCUUGCCGACGACCCCCGUCAUCCUGACUCGAAUCCCGGCAACCAGCCGUCGCCACCGCCUCCUCGCUCGAGGGCAGAGCCGGGCCAGAGUCCACGCCAGGCACCGGCAGCAGAAGUGCCCUCCCAUGACAGCCCAGACACCUGCGGCAGCUUGAAAUUUGCAUGUCACUAAGAGGAAGCAUCAAACUCAGGCUAAGAAUGAAGUGAGCAGCGAGACAGAAAGUAGGGAACCGGAAGCUGGAGGCCAGCUGGGCCCUGCAGGCUCGAGGCAACGUUCUUUUACAAAAGGUGCAGAACCAGCGCGACUGAGCCCAGGAAACAGAGCCCAGGGUCAGAGCCAAAGAAGCAAGACUUCCUUGGAUGUCUGACGACUAAGAUGAGCAUCCAGUCUUUAAAAAGUCAUUGUUAAAAAUCCAGGAGGGAUAAAGAAGAAAGCUGGUGGCCCCUCUCAUUCGCUUCUUUCUGCAUCCCAGAGAGGAGGCCCGCCCCGCCUGCCUCUGCUCUGUGUGAUGCAUUCAUGUGACCAAGCACAGGAAGGGCCCAUCCAACUCAAGGCCGUCUGACCGUCCCGGGACCUCAUCUUCACGACGGCGCGGCUCCUGGACCUGGCCCUGGCUGCAGAACACGGAGACGCGAAUGCUCCACCGCGUUGUGAUUGUAGCCCUGACGGCUGCAGCAAAAGACGGGGACGGCGGGGCGGCCAGCCCCGUAGACAACAAGGGUGUCCGUAUUCCAUACCGUGCAAUGGCCUCUAGAGACAAAGCGUGUGAACAGGGAUGUACGUGUGCGAUAAACUGCGUCCCUGUGCUGUGCACCAGAAGCGAACACAGCACUGGAAGAAGGAAGCUGCGGUCUUUUCAAACAUGAAUGUGAAAGGAAUGGCAGAGAUAACUUUAAAAACAUACUCAGCGUACGUGUCAUCUCAUAGAAAUGAGCUGACCUGUCCCCUGGGAUUUUGAUAGACUCACUUUUUAAUAAUUCAAAUGCAGUGAUUUUGCCCCAAAAGCUGUAGCUCUCAUUCAGCGCUGCGCUAAUUCCUCCUGCGAGACGAGGUGACUUACAGGCAGUUCAUCCAGAACCCCAGGCUCGCCGUAAGUACCAGCUCAGGACUCCAGGCUGAGCAGGACGCGGGGACUGGCUCUCUGCUCCCUCCUGAAGCUCUGGGCCCCCGAACGAUGGCGCUCACACCCGGGGACCCUCCCCCCGCCUCCAGGUGAGGCGGGCACCACGCAGGUGGGUCCUGGGGGUGGUGGAGGGGACACACCCGGGAAGGGAAGAUGCCUGGAGCCCGUGGACUGGGGGUGACGGGAGGUGUGCAUGUGGAACGUUCUAGAGCCCCCGGGGGUGGGGGGGGCGGCUGCAUAAAAUAAGAACGUCACCGGGGAAUGAGCAGGCUGUGUCCGGGUGGGUGGUGGCCUGCAGGGGCUCAGGGAAUCACCAGGUCCAGUCUCCGGGCACCUGGCGUGGAGACGGCCGUGGGGCUGAAGCCGGCCGGCGGUAAGAGGGAGGGACUGGGUCACCAGGGCCAGGCACGCACACUAUUCCUCUGACGACGCCCGUUUGUUCUCGCCCAGGUCAGCCUGGCCUGGAACUGGGCUCGCGUUUACGUGAGACCGCAAACCCGAGCCGCCCCAAAGGGCUUAGGGCUCCCAGGGUGACCCCGGGAAGCCUCAGGUUCACCGAAGACACACAGAAAAAGGAGCUCCACGUUUCACUCUGAGUCUCAUUUCCAUCGUCUUAAAGUUGAGCGACGAGGCAGAGGACGAGGGAAACAGCGAGAAGCUGUGUGUUCCAGGGAAAGAGCGUUCCUGUGACUCAGGCCUUCGGUCCAUAAUUCACGCGGGAUCAUUCUGAGGUUUUGUGUGGAGGGGAUUACAUCAGGACAGGAGGUCUUCUGAGAGGAGCUGUAAACAUCCAGACGUGACUUCCUGGAGCCCGGUGGCCUUGGGGAUUUUGG